Molecule: transfer RNA, 75 nt
Filed under: Anabaenopsis circularis NIES-21
Lineage: Bacteria; Bacillati; Cyanobacteriota; Cyanophyceae; Nostocales; Nodulariaceae
Description: tRNA-Cys
Rfam family: tRNA
About the family: Transfer RNA (tRNA) molecules are approximately 80 nucleotides in length. Their secondary structure includes four short double-helical elements and three loops (D, anti-codon, and T loops).
Source: RNAcentral
GUCCAGGUCGCCUAAUGGUAGGGUAUUGGUCUGCAAAACCUCCCCCAGCGAGUUCAAUUCUCGCCCUGGACUCCA